CGGGAGGCAGCAGUUAGGAAUCUUCCGCAAUGGGCGCAAGCCUGACGGAGCGACGCCGCUUGGAGGAAGAAGCCCUUCGGGGUGUAAGCUCCUGAACCCGGGACGAAACCCCCGACGAGGGGACUGACGGUACCGGGGUAAUAGCGCCGGCCAACUCCGUGCCAGCAGCCGCGGUAAUACGGAGGGCGCGAGCGUUACCCGGAUUCACUGGGCGUAAAGGGCGUGUAGGCGGCCUGGGGCGUCCCAUGUGAAAGACCACGGCUCAACCGUGGGGGAGCGUGGGAUACGCUCAGGCUAGACGGUGGGAGAGGGUGGUGGAAUUCCCGGAGUAGCGGUGAAAUGCGCAGAUACCGGGAGGAACGCCGAUGGCGAAGGCAGCCACCUGGUCCACCCGUGACGCUGAGGCGCGAAAGCGUGGGGAGCAAACCGGAUUAGAUACCCGGGUAGUCCACACCCUAAAC
This 461-nucleotide ribosomal RNA is filed under the name uncultured bacterium. RNAcentral's name for it is "bacterial SSU rRNA". It matches the Rfam family "Bacterial small subunit ribosomal RNA", at positions 342 to 807 of the family's 1533-position model. The record is from RNAcentral.